AUUGAACGCUGGCGGUAGGCCUAACACAUGCAAGUCGAGCGGAUGAAGGGAGCUUGCUCCUGGAUUCAGCGGCGGACGGGUGAGUAAUGCCUAGGAAUCUGCCUGGUAGUGGGGGAUAACAUCCGGAAACGGGCGCUAAUACCGCAUACGUCCUGAGGGAGAAAGUGGGGGAUCUUCGAACCUCACGCUAUCAGAUGAGCCUAGGUCGGAUUAGCUAGUUGGUGGGGUAAAGGCCUACCAAGGCGACGAUCCGUAACUGGUCUGAGAGGAUGAUCAGUCACACUGGAACUGUGACACGGUCCAGACUCCUACGGGAGGCAGCAGUGGGGAAUAUUGGACAAUGGGCGAAAGCCUGAUCCAGCCAUGCCGCGUGUGUGAAGAAGGUCUUCGGAUUGUAAAGCACUUUAAGUUGGGAGGAAGGGCAGUAAGUUGAUACCUUGCUGUUUUGACGUUACCAACAGAAUAAGCACCGGCUAACUUCGUG
RNAcentral lists this ribosomal RNA (484 nucleotides) under uncultured bacterium. Its description in RNAcentral is "partial 16S ribosomal RNA". It matches the Rfam family "Bacterial small subunit ribosomal RNA", at positions 30 to 507 of the family's 1533-position model. The record is from RNAcentral.